UACGGAGGGUGCAAGCGUUAUCCGGAUUCACUGGGUUUAAAGGGUGCGUAGGUGGAUUGCCAAGUCCGUGGUGAAAUCUCCGAGCUUAACUCGGAAACUGCCGUGGAUACUGGUAAUCUUGAAUAUCGUGGAGGUAAGCGGAAUAUGUCAUGUAGCGGUGAAAUGCUUAGAUAUGACAUAGAACACCGAUAGCGAAGGCAGCUUGCUACACGAUCAUUGACACUGAGGCACGAAAGCGUGGGGAGCAAACAGG
This 253-nucleotide ribosomal RNA is filed under the name uncultured bacterium. RNAcentral describes it as "partial 16S ribosomal RNA". It matches the Rfam family "Bacterial small subunit ribosomal RNA", at positions 524 to 776 of the family's 1533-position model. The record is from RNAcentral.